GCACCAUCUGGUUAGCUCAGUAGGUAGAGUGCUGGACUGUGAAUCUGGUGACCCGGGUUCGAUUCCCGGACAGUGCC
Molecule: non-coding RNA, 77 nt
Organism: Ruditapes philippinarum (Manila clam)
Lineage: Eukaryota; Metazoa; Mollusca; Bivalvia; Venerida; Veneridae
Source: the annotation of a RefSeq genome assembly